CCUUCUGAAGGUAUGUACUCAAUGCUGGUUGCAUGUGGAGCCCACAGUGGGCUGCUGCCCUGCCUCUCCUGGCCCUUAAUCCUUGUGUUCUUUUGGGUGAGUUACCCAGUGAAUGGGGUGAAGACAAGCUGGGUGCUUCCACAAUUGAAGGCCCCAGGCUUGGCCAGUCCACCCACUCAGCUCAGGUUGAAGAGCAUUCAAGUGUGACCCUUCAACCCCAUCUGCAGGGUGUAUCCAACUGCUUACUCUUUUGAUCACAAGUUGUUUUGUCUUUAGAAAGUUUUCACUGCAGAAUUAACUUCUAGUGUGGAUGUUGGACUAUGAGAUGGUGAGAGAUACUUUUGUAAGAGAUCACUAAUGUCCAGAUCCAAAACUGAAAUGCUUUGGUCCAGAAGAGAGGGAUGUAUCUUUAAAAUAAAUGCAACACACCAUAUUAAGAAAUGGGUCAUCUUGUUAGCUUAACUAUUGCAACCCUGUCACUCCUAAAAACUGCUUAAUUAGGAGUAGGGGGACCUUGUGAAGCUAACCAAAAAUAUUUCCAGUUGUUUACAGGCGUAGCCCUGUUUCUACAUAUAUCAGUUGGUUGGUUGCAAAGAAAAACUGAGUCUCAAAAGCCUUUUCUGACUCUCAUUUCUAAGAUCUCCUGCUAGACUUCCACAGCCUCUCAGGUUAUGCACAUUGCCUGAGUACUUGGUGGAACUUGGACUCCUGAGUUGAAUGUCCUCAUAGCUAGAGUUAAUGGCCCCAGAAUUUAAACCUUUGUUACAGAUGCUGUGUUGAACUAAGUUCAGGCAGCUACCACCAAUGUGUGGGAUGCUGUAUAGAUAAACCAGAUAAUAUCCUUGGCCUCAAAGACGUGAAUGAUGUCUCUUCUGUGGGUCUAUGCGGCCACCCCUCUGUUCCCACAGAAGAGUAAAGAUAAUUUCCAGACGAGGUCAUGAUUUCCGGUCAGCCUGAAAAAAUGUUUAGUUAGACACAAGCUGCUCUCAGGAGAGCUUUGGGAUGGAGGAUUCUUUGACCAGUGUCUUUGCCACAGCCACAGAGCUCACCCACUCACUGGGCUGCUGGUCCUAGGACAAACAAUGGUGCAUUUCACUGCAUUGUCUCUGGUUUCCUGAAUAUGGUGGAAUUCUCUGCUCAGUGACUUGCUCACAUCAGACCAACACAAUGCCCCCUCUAGCCUGGCAGCCUCAAGCAAGACAGAAUUACAGCAACCUCUGCACCACCAUGGAGAAGGGGGAGAAGGAAAUGGCAACCCACUCCAGUGCUCUUGCCUAGAAAAUUCCAUGGACAGAGGAACCUGGCGGGCUACAGUUCAUGGGGUCGCAGAGUCGGCCACGACUGAGCACAUCAGCACGGCACCACCAGCCUGGCUGUUUCCAUCAAACCCUUGGCUGGAAGGGGAACUGAAAAUUCAUUUAAUUUAAACAGCAUGAGCUGAAAGAUUUCAGCAAGAUGCUGAAACAUUUAACCUCUGGUUUUAAGUGGCUCUAUGGGUCAGCUCAGGUGAACACAACAAGUAGCCCAUUUGGGGCCAAUUCCAUCUCCCCAAGAUUUAUAAUCUGGUUCAAGUCAGCAGGGCAUCAACAGUCCAAAGAGGGAGAAGCCUGCUCUUAGAACGGUAGCUUUCUUUUCAAGCUCUCACCUCUGCCAUUUCUUGUUUACUGUCAUCUCUGAAAGGCAGUAAACUCCAGAAGAUCAAGAACUCUGUCAGUAUCUAAUUCACUGUUUUAUCCCCAGUAGAUUUUUGACAUGAUGUGCUUAGAAUAUGGUACUUUGGGCAUUUUAGGCCAACUCAGUAUUUUUUGUUGAGUUCAGUUGUUGAGCAUUUAGAAAGCCACAGACAGACAUUGUCUUUCCAGAAGUUUACACGAUAGACUGGCAUUUGUCGCCUGUGUUUGCGUGUACCAGCUACGUCACCAUACAGAAAUAUUCACGGUGCUCUGUGAUGCAGGCACACUGUCAGCUAUGAGCAGGAGGGACAUGCAAGAUGGGGGCCCUGCCUCUCCUAUCAGGCGGGGCAGCAUCAGCUCUCCCCUUCCCUUUUUAUUGUUUCCUGCUGUUUUCCUCUGAUUUCAGUCUGUGGCACACUGGAGGUGUUCUGGAGAGAGGCUGUAGACCAGGCGCUCUACAAGUGUGACCUUCAUUCUGUAGCAGCAACAGCACUUGUUAGAAAUGCUCUGGUCCCCACCCAGACCCACUGAAUCAGACUCUGAGGCCCAGCAAUCUGCGUUUUAAGAAGCCCUUCCUUCAUUGGGCUUCCCUGAUAGCUCCCUCAUUGAGCUUCCCUGGUAACUUCCCUCACUGGGCUUCCAUGAUAGCUCAGUUGGUAAAGAAUCUGCCUGCUAUGCAGGAGACCCUGGUUCGAUUCCUAGGUUGGAGAAGAUCCCUGGAGAAGGGAUAGGCUACCCACUCCAGUAUUCUGGCCUGGAGAAUUCCAUGGACUAUACAGUUGGACACAACUGAGUGCCUUUCACUUUCUUUUUAUUAUUAUUAUUAUUUUUUUACUUUACAAUAUUGUAUUGGUUUUGCCAUACAUCAACAUGCAUCCGCCACAGGUGUACACAUGUUCCCCAUCCUGAACCCCCCUCCCACCUCCCUCCCCAUACCAUCCCUCUGGGUCACUUUUCAUUUUCAGAGGAUUCUGGUAAGAGUUUGAGAACCACCCAUGUAGAUGCUUGUCAGAGAGUGUGGAGGAGUGAGAAUAUCAGAGCCUGCCAGAGAUGAUCCUUCCGAGACUGUCAUUGCAGGAGCUCUAGGGAAACACCAGGAAAGAAUUUUCUUGCUGUCACUGUCUUUGUGAAAGUCCACAGAGUUACACCUUGAGCAUCCACAGCCUCCCACCCCUUGCCACCUCACCUGGCCUCCUGCUACCCGGGAUGGCUGAGCAGCAGGAAUCAGGGCUGCUCGCAGAGUGGGAAUCAGAACCGUGUCCUUAAUCAGAAGUGUGUCAGGAACCCCAGGGCUUGGGGCUGCAUUCAGGAAGGAAGGACAGAACUGGCUGCUUACUUCCCAGCUGACCUGAGGCUCUCCUGGGGACUGAACCCCUCAGAGCUCCCGCCUGGAACCAGCACCCUCUGCUGCAGAAAGGGAAUCUCUCCCAGGCCUCUGUCAACCCUCCCCAGAGCAUAUCUUCACCUCGAGGCUAGGAGACACCCCAGAGAGAAUGCUCCCAGCCUAGUUUGGGACCUGGGACCUGUACCCUCAUGUCUCGACAAGACAAGAAGAUCUGAGCUCUAUGAAGUUGAUUCAGUUGGCUGCAGGCUGUAACCCCCUUCAGUACAUCACCAGGUCAUGGUUCCCAAACUUGGCUGCAUGUUGGAAUCACCUGGGGAUCUUUAAAAACUACUGUUCCCACUCCCAGCCCCAGAUGUUCUGAUUUAAUUGGCAUAGGGUGUGACCUGGCCACCGGAGUGUUUAAAUUCCCCCAGGUGAUUCUAAUGUGCACACAAGUUUGGGAGCCAAUGAACAAGUUCUCCUGAGACCAAGCCCAGCUCAUAUUCUAAUGUUUAGGGAGCAACAUAGGCUUAAAGAUGGAAGGUAGAACCGGCUUUCAAGGACAAGAAAAAAAAAAAAGUAUUUCAAUCAUCAGACAGACUCCAGACUUAGCAAACAGCUGGUGAAGAAAGGAGGGGAGAGAGGUAGGGACAGGGGGUUGCUGGUGAGCGUUGGAUUCACUGGUGGAGAUGAUGUCAGACAUUCCUCUGCGAUGUUAGAACUGGGGAAACACAUGAAAAUAACCAUGGCUGUGAAAAUGGAACUUUCUGUGAAAUGGCAUAUUCUUGGAAGGAGAGGGAAGAGGAGAGGGGGAAAAGGUGGGGGGUGGGGGGGGAGCCAAGCCAGAGAGAAUAUAGGAGGGAGAUUCACUCCCAGACCUCUGGAGAAUGGAAGAAGGAACAAGAUGUGAAAAGAUGUGCAGAGGAGAAGGCGGUUUGAGUCCCCACGAGGAAUGGGGACAGAGGCCAACUGCUGACCCAGAAGGAGCCGAAGCAACAAAAGAAAAGAUAAGCCAGGAGAGAGAGAAGGAAUCUACUGCUAAGAGAAGAAACACCCAGCUUUUGACCCAAACCCACCCAGGCAGAUGGAGUGCUUCCCGGGAGCAGGCUGAGGGUGCAGCUCCCCGCCCCCAACAGCCCCUCAGGGGAGGGGAGAAGACACGAGACAACCAUCGCAUGCCUUCCCCUUUCUCCUCCAUUCCUGGCGCCCUGGGCCUGACACUGGGAAGCCAGAUCCUUCCCCUUCCAAGUUUCUGUGAGGGAGUGAGGGCCGAGCCCCAAGGAGCCCAGGCCUCUGGCUCCUGUGGGCCUUGAGGGGAGCAGCUCCCCACCCAAAGCCACGCGCCAGCCCCUGAUUCUUAGAUCUCACCCUAAUGGCUUCCCCCGGGGCUAGCCAUCCAAAUAUUGAGUCACCAAGAGAAAAAAGCCUCACAGACCAAACCUAGAAGACUUACACAGGCUCUUCUAUUCCUGGAUGAAAGAUUUCACACCUAUUUUGUGCAAAAUCAGGAGACUUCUCAUGACUGGGUGUGACUGUAACCCCCAUGUAUGUGACGAGCCUCCCACAAAGUAAAGAUACCGGCUGCGUCACGUGACGCGGCCCCUGUGACGCCGCAGGCGGGUCCCCUCUCAGCUCCUGCGCUGACGGAGACCCCCAGCACCACCUGCCGGGUUAGCGCUCCCUCCCAUCAGAGAGCGUCGCCAUAUGUGCGGUUCAGGCUCAAGGGACCGUCUAGGGGAAACCAACGUCAAAUCAAGCGUUCCGGAUGCUGGCUGUGGUCCACCGGCCGCUGUGCCUCCUCCAUGGGUACCGUGGGCUCUGUGCCCCCUCCCGCCCUCCGCAUGUCUCACGAGCUGUUCGGAGGGGCUGCGGGCGCCGCAUGACAGCACUCUGGGUCGUGCAGCUGGGAGCUGCCUCCAGCACUUCAGAGUUUCCAGUCAGUGGUUUCCUGUGGGAGAGCAGGCCCGGCCUCCGCUCUCGCUUCCUGGCAGGCCUCCCCCUCUCUCUGCUCGGCCUCCCAUCCAUCCUGACCACUGGCCUGGCCUCGCUAGAGCAACAAAAAGUAGACUGGCUUCCUCAGAGUCAGAAGAUACAGCAUGCCUGGGAGCUGAAGCUAGCCACUGGCCCUUAGUGUUUAGGGGACAAGAGUGAAGUGGAGGGCACCCUGGGACCCCAGAGUCUAGAGCCUGUCUCCUGAGGACAAUCUGUUCUGCAAGAACGCAGCAGCCCAUUGGGGGUCCUCGUCUAUCCCGAUGAUGCCACGUGGAGGGCAGGGGCCCCUCCAUAGCAGAAGUGGCCACUGUGAGACGGAGGAAUCCGCAUGGGGCGACGGUUUUUAGGGAGGGCAGGGUCCACUGCUGGCUGAGAAGGCUGGACCUGGGGGCCGCGGGAGCCUGUUCCAGGGGCUGCUGGGAGGUUCAGAGGUCCUUCUGGGUGACAGCACGCAUGUCAGCAUACCAGUCCACCUGCUCGGAGCUGGGCUCUGCUCACGCUCUCUCAGGGACACAGAGAUGUCCUCCAAAGAUAGUCAGCCUAGAGAGGGAAACACGUGAAGUGUGAGCAACUCAGGCACCAGAUGCCGUGUGUGCCGAGACACAGGUACAGAGGGAGACAGGGAGGAAAGGAUAGGCAAGCCGGGGGGCUUCUUCUAGGAGGUUGGUCUGGGGUAGGGCCUUAAGGGAAGGGGAGAAUUCAACCAGGUAGUGACUGGGGAGGAUCACCUGUCAGGGAAUUCCAAGGAGAGGAAUGGCCUGAGCAAAAGCAGUGAAGGUGCCCGGGGGUCAGUGUGGCCUCACGCAUUGAAGUCUUGUUCUGCCCAGGGAAAAAUAAAACUGGUGGGUCAAUAA
Long non-coding RNA from Bos taurus (domestic cattle), 5843 nucleotides. The record is from Ensembl. Lineage: Eukaryota; Metazoa; Chordata; Mammalia; Artiodactyla; Bovidae.